GAUCAGCAUGGCAUAGUGGAUCGAGCGUUGGACUAUGACUCUAGAGGCCAGGGUUCGAUUCCCAGCUUGGUCA
Phrynosoma platyrhinos (Desert horned lizard) is the source of this 73-nucleotide non-coding RNA. The record is from the annotation of a GenBank genome assembly. NCBI's taxonomy places the organism in Eukaryota, Metazoa, Chordata, Lepidosauria, Squamata, Phrynosomatidae.